This 496-nucleotide ribosomal RNA is filed under the name uncultured bacterium. Its description in RNAcentral is "partial 16S ribosomal RNA". It matches the Rfam family "Bacterial small subunit ribosomal RNA", at positions 29 to 507 of the family's 1533-position model. The record is from RNAcentral.
AUGAACGCUGGCGGCGUGCCUAAUACAUGGAAGUCGAGCGAACAGACGAGGAGCUUGCUCCUCUGACGUUAGCGGCGGACGGGUGAGUAACACGUGGAUAACCUACCUAUAAGACUGGGAUAACUUCGGGAAACCGGAGCUAAUACCGGAUAAUAUAUUGAACCGCCUGGUUCAAUAGUGAAAGACGGUUUUGCUGUCACUUAUAGAUGGAUCCGCGCCGCAUUAGCUAGUUGGUAAGGUAACGGCUUACCAAGGCAACGAUGCGUAGCCGACCUGAGAGGGUGAUCGGCCACACUGGAACUGAGACACGGUCCAGACUCCUACGGGAGGCAGCAGUAGGGAAUCUUCCGCAAUGGGCGAAAGCCUGACGGAGCAACGCCGCGUGAGUGAUGAAGGUCUUCGGAUCGUAAAACUCUGUUAUUAGGGAAGAACAAAUGUGUAAGUAACUAUGCACGUCUUGACGGUACCUAAUCAGAAAGCCACGGCUAACUACGUG